RNAcentral lists this ribosomal RNA (2308 nucleotides) under Marinomonas sp. BSi20584. RNAcentral's name for it is "bacterial LSU rRNA". It matches the Rfam family "Bacterial large subunit ribosomal RNA", at positions 658 to 2925 of the family's 2925-position model. The record is from RNAcentral. Lineage: Bacteria; Pseudomonadati; Pseudomonadota; Gammaproteobacteria; Oceanospirillales; Oceanospirillaceae.
UAGUGGAGCCGUAGGGAAACCGAGUCUUAAUAGGGCGUUUAGUUGCUGGGAAUAGACCCGAAACCGGGCGAUCUAUCCAUGAGCAGGUUGAAGGUUGAGUAACAUCAACUGGAGGACCGAACCCACAUCCGUUGAAAAGGCUGGGGAUGACUUGUGGAUAGGAGUGAAAGGCUAAUCAAGCUCGGAGAUAGCUGGUUCUCCUCGAAAGCUAUUUAGGUAGCGCCUCGUAUCUCACCAUUGGGGGUAGAGCACUGUUUGGGCUAGGGGGUCAUCCCGACUUACCAACCCCAUGCAAACUCCGAAUACCAAUGAGUGCAAUUACGGGAGACACACAGCGGGUGCUAACGUCCGUUGUGGAAAGGGAAACAACCCAGACCGUCAGCUAAGGUCCCAAAGUUACAGUUAAGUGGGAAACGAUGUGGGAAGGCUUAGACAGCUAGGAGGUUGGCUUAGAAGCAGCCAUCCUUUAAAGAAAGCGUAAUAGCUCACUAGUCGAGUCGGCCUGCGCGGAAGAUAUAACGGGGCUCAAACUGUACACCGAAGCUACGGAUGCUUAAUUUAUUAGGCAUGGUAGAGGAGCGUUCUGUAAGCCGUUGAAGGUCAAGCUGUAAGGCAGGCUGGAGGUAUCAGAAGUGCGAAUGUUGACAUGAGUAACGAUAAGGGGAGUGAAAAACUCCCCCGCCGGAAGACCAAGGUUUCCUGUCCCAUGUUAAUCAGGGCAGGGUGAGUCGGCCCCUAAGGCGAGGCAGAAAUGCGUAGUCGAUGGAAAACAGGUUAAUAUUCCUGUACCGAUGUAUAUUGCGAUGGAGAGACGGAGAAGGCUAGGCCAGCACAGCGAUGGUUGUCUGUGUUUAAGGCGGUAGGCAAGUGACUUAGGCAAAUCCGGGUCACUCUUUUAGAGAGAAUGCCGAGAACUGAUGACGAGCCCUCUUUUGGGCGAAGUGGUUGAUGCCAUGCUUCCAGGAAAAACUUCUAAGCUUCAGAUAUACAUUGACCGUACCCCAAACCGACACAGGUGGUCAGGUAGAGAAUACCAAGGCGCUUGAGAGAACUCGGGUGAAGGAACUAGGCAAAAUGGUACCGUAACUUCGGGAGAAGGUACGCCGGCCGGUGUGAAGGACUUGCUCCGUAAGCACUAGUCGGUCGAAGAUACCAGGUGGCUGCGACUGUUUAUUAAAAACACAGCACUCUGCAAACACGAAAGUGGACGUAUAGGGUGUGACGCCUGCCCGGUGCUUGAAGGUUAAUUGAUGGGGUUAGCGCAAGCGAAGCUCUUGAUCGAAGCCCAAGUAAACGGCGGCCGUAACUAUAACGGUCCUAAGGUAGCGAAAUUCCUUGUCGGGUAAGUUCCGACCUGCACGAAUGGCGUAACGAUGGCCACACUGUCUCCACCCGAGACUCAGUGAAAUUGAAAUCGCAGUGAAGAUGCUGUGUAUCCGCGGCUAGACGGAAAGACCCCGUGAACCUUUACUAUAGCUUCACAGUGAACUUUGAACCUACUUGUGUAGGAUAGGUGGGAGGCUUUGAAGUGCAGACGCCAGUUUGCAUGGAGCCACUCUUGAAAUACCACCCUGGUAUGUUUGAGGUUCUAACUCAGGUCCCUUAUCGGGAUCGAGGACACUGUGUGGUGGGUAGUUUGACUGGGGCGGUCUCCUCCCAAAGAGUAACGGAGGAGCACGAAGGUGUGCUCAGCAUGGUCGGAAAUCAUGCAUAGAGUGUAAAGGCAAAAGCACGCUUAACUGCGAGACAGACACGUCGAGCAGGUACGAAAGUAGGUCUUAGUGAUCCGGUGGUUCUGUAUGGAAGGGCCAUCGCUCAACGGAUAAAAGGUACUCCGGGGAUAACAGGCUGAUACCGCCCAAGAGUUCACAUCGACGGCGGUGUUUGGCACCUCGAUGUCGGCUCAUCACAUCCUGGGGCUGAAGCCGGUCCCAAGGGUAUGGCUGUUCGCCAUUUAAAGUGGUACGCGAGCUGGGUUUAGAACGUCGUGAGACAGUUCGGUCCCUAUCUGCCGUGGACGUUUGAGAUUUGAGAGGAGCUGCUCCUAGUACGAGAGGACCGGAGUGGACGAACCUCUGGUGUUCCGGUUGUCACGCCAGUGGCAUUGCCGGGUAGCUAUGUUCGGACGGGAUAACCGCUGAAAGCAUCUAAGCGGGAAGCCUCCCUUAAGAUAAGAUCUCACUGGGACAUAAGUCCCCUGAAGAGCCGUUCGAGACUAGGACGUUGAUAGGUUGGGUGUGUAAGUGCUGUGAGGCAUUGAGCUAACCAAUACUAAUUGCUCGUGAGGCUUGACCAUAUAACACCAAAG